GAUGUCACUUCCGGGCGGCAAAUCCCUGCGUUGCCGUGGCAACGCGAUGGCGGCGGCUGAGGACAGCUCUUCGCUAUGGCUGGAGGCUCACGAGGACCCCCUGGCCGGGCUGUGCAGCUUCCCGGGGUGCAUGGCGCUGGUUGAUCUCCAUGGCGACGGCGACCACAAGCUGGUGGUGGGGGUCCCCCGCGGGCCGGGGGGGC
Molecule: long non-coding RNA, 203 nt
Organism: Haemorhous mexicanus (house finch)
Lineage: Eukaryota; Metazoa; Chordata; Aves; Passeriformes; Fringillidae
Exons: 4
Source: RefSeq, a predicted model, not a curated record